This is a long non-coding RNA of Anastrepha ludens (Mexican fruit fly), 1050 nucleotides long. RefSeq lists it as uncharacterized. The record is from RefSeq and is a predicted model, not a curated record. NCBI's taxonomy places the organism in Eukaryota, Metazoa, Arthropoda, Insecta, Diptera, Tephritidae. The transcript has 3 exons.
CAGCAGCACUUUGGUGAAGCCAUUUGAAUUUGCAUUUGCAUUAGUAUUGGAGUAGUGUAGUCGAGGCAAACUAUGCGAGGUGUGGAUGCAAUCGAGAAGCGAAUGACAUGCAAAUCAUCGACAUGUGAAUCAAUUUUCUUUUGUACAAUUGCUCAUGUUUUCCAAUGGUUCGCAAAUGUUGACAGUUUGGACUAGGUACUUGCCAUACAGUUGGCUUAACAAUCGAUUUAUUGCAAUAUUCAAGCCAUGGACGCCAUACGGCCAGAUUUUUUCGAAAAAGUAGACAAAAAUUGGACUGAUCGAAUGGACCAUGCAACUCGUUGCCACGGUGGACAUGUGCUGGAUAUCAUAUUCAGAAAAUAGUUCCCAUAAAAUUAUCUACCAGAUUGUAAUAAAUAAAUUCAUUCGAAAAAUAUUGCUUUUUUUGAUUAUCAUUUUAAGUUCUCAAGCUCUUAAAAAAACACCCGAUACAUAUGUACCAAUAUUUUCAGUCCAAUAGCAAAACAUUAUGCAGUACUUUGCCAGAUGCAAAAAGCUUACAGAAAGGGAAAUAGUUGAUUCAAGUGCCCAAAAGAGCUAAUGGUGACUACCCAAAAUGCGCUGAAGAAUCGGCUACUGCUUUAGCAGAGUAUUUUUGAGCGUGGCAUACUGGUAGUAGUUACAGAGUCUAAUCACUAGCAUUGACAUAAAAUAACAAACAAAUUUUCCUAACAGGCGCAGCCUCCAUCAUAGGAAAUCAUCGAGUCUAAUCACCAGUAUUGACAUAAAAUAACAAACAGAUUUUCCCAACAGGCGCAGCCUUCAUCAUAGGAAAUCAUCACUUAAAAAGGCUUAAGCAAUUUAGUGGCGGCAAUAAACCCGUAACUCCUUCAUUUGUGGAGCAAUAUUCAUAUAAGGCUAUAUAUCGCAAAUAGGAGUAGAAGCUUGACCUAAACACGUGCCAAGUGUGCAUGCGCUAGUCCAUGUAUAAAUAACAAGCGUCAUUUCACUUACUUUGUUUAAAAAAAAAAAUAUUUUUUCAUAUAAUUUUUUUUUUCAUUUGUUUUCACU